RNAcentral lists this ribosomal RNA (253 nucleotides) under uncultured bacterium. Its description in RNAcentral is "partial 16S ribosomal RNA". It matches the Rfam family "Bacterial small subunit ribosomal RNA", at positions 524 to 776 of the family's 1533-position model. The record is from RNAcentral.
GACGUAGGGCGCGAGCGUUGUCCGGAUUUAUUGGGCGUAAAGAGCUCGUAGGCGGUCUGUCGCGUCGGCUGUGAAAACCUGGGGCUUAACUCCGGGCCUGCAGCCGAUACGGGCAGACUAGAGUUCGGCAGGGGAGACUGGAAUUCCUGGUGUAGCGGUGAAAUGCGCAGAUAUCAGGAGGAACACCGGUGGCGAAGGCGGGUCUCUGGGCCGAUACUGACGCUGAGGAGCGAAAGCGUGGGGAGCAAACAGG